RNAcentral lists this ribosomal RNA (299 nucleotides) under Dasyhelea septuosa. RNAcentral's name for it is "partial 16S ribosomal RNA". The record is from RNAcentral. Lineage: Eukaryota; Metazoa; Arthropoda; Insecta; Diptera; Ceratopogonidae.
UGGAGGCUUGUAUGAACGGUUGGAUGAGGAAUUAACUAUUUUAUUUUAAUAAGUUGAAAUUUAAUUUUUAGUAAAAAUGCUAAAGUAUUUGUAUAAGACGAGAAGACCCUUUAAAUCUUUAUUAUUUUAUUUAUAAUUUGUUAUUUAAUAUUAGUUAUUAGUAUAAAUAAAAUAAUUUUAUUGGGGCGAUAUUGAAACUUAAUUAACUUUCAAAUUUUUUUCUUUUACAUAAAUAAAUGAAUUUUUGAUCCAUUAUUAAUGAUUAAUAAAUUAAGUUACUUAAGGGAUAACAGCGUCAU